CAUGGCCCCCUCAGAGCUGGCAAAACCCCAAGAAGGGGCAGGAAGGCCCCGUCCCAGAGGCUGCCAUUCUACUAGCAUAGCCGUGGCCUGUGUGCCUGCUCAGGGCAAUGCUGAGAUCUUUAAUUUUUCUUCACAGAGAUUAAUCCCCAGAGGAAGCAGCUUGCCAGUGAAUGACAGCUUUUGUUUGCUCAUGUUUUCCUCUCCUCCCAGAGUCAACUUUCAGAAUAUACCAGGAUGUUCCCUCUCACUUGACUUUCUUUUCUUUUCUUUUCUUUUCUUUUUUUUUACUGGAGGAGAGGGGAGGCUCCACAGCAUAUUAUCCAAAGGCGAGGCAGAUGGUUCUUUGUCCAAUAGUGAGAGAGGGGAGAGAGGGGCCAUUGGUCUUCUCUUUUUGUGUUUUACGUUUUUACUUCUCAUGUUGAGAUGUUGUAACGGCACUUCAUACCUCCUCGGCCGCUGUUGUCUUCACAAUGCACAGAACAUGUUCCAUGUCAUGUCAUCUUGCUCUUCCCACACAACUCUUCUGUGGGGCAAUACUGGUUUUGGAAUUGCCAUUUUAGAAGUGAGCAAACAAGACUCAGAUCAAGUGACCCAGCUCAAGUCUCAUGGGCAGGAAGUGGACAAACCAAGGUCUGAACCAAACAGCUCCAGCCUGAAUGAGAAGCACGUCCUCCUGGGAGUUACGUCAGCAGCCUGACCUUCCAUCUUCCUCCUCUAAAGAAGCGUCCCUGCCACCCUGAGCACGAAGCCCUCGGGUUCCUAAAGGCCGAGGCGCUUCUUCUCAUUUACUUCCCUUGAGGAAGAAAGACCAGCCCAUCCACCCUCAUUUCCCACCGAAGGGCAUCGCAAAUAAAGUUUGCCCACGCAACCAGGCCACCACCAUUAAUUUCUCUCUGCCCUGCUCUUACAUUCUCCUCAAGGUUUUCAGUCCCCUAGAGAGGCUCCCUUCCCUCUUUUCUUUCCUUCCUCCAGCCCCCCUUUUCACCUCCCUCCACCAUUGUUUGAGGUUAAGAAGCAUGCUACGGUGUUCUAUAAAUCACUUGGCAAGAGUAGACGACAAAAGCAAAAUAUAAUUCAGAUUAAAGUCAUCCUCCCGCUGAAAUGAUAGUUUCUUAAAUAAAUGGCGAUGCUGCCUAUCAAUCUUGCUGGCAACUGGUCCUCUCAUAUUCAUCUUUCUGGGGGUGAUUUAGGAUCCACCUGGGUCCUCCGAGAAGAUUCUCCCAUCAUUUCCUUCCCGUCUCUCUGGAUCUUGCUGCUGGGCUUGGCGCAGUUGACAAAUUCUCCAAGUAAUCCCUCAAAAGAUUGGAGAAAUGCUCCGAACGCUCCAUUAAACUUAUUUUCCAUGCUUUAAGAGACCCAAAACUAUGUCCAAUAAAUAAGUGUUCCCUGUGA
Molecule: long non-coding RNA, 1392 nt
Organism: Homo sapiens (human)
Lineage: Eukaryota; Metazoa; Chordata; Mammalia; Primates; Hominidae
Source: Ensembl